Molecule: long non-coding RNA, 1074 nt
Organism: Dermochelys coriacea (leatherback sea turtle)
Lineage: Eukaryota; Metazoa; Chordata; Testudines; Dermochelyidae
Exons: 4
Source: RefSeq, a predicted model, not a curated record
GUCUGGCUUCCAUCUGCUCAGAGUACUGCAAGAACAUCUUUCUGCCUCUCAGAUAACUUUUGGGCAUUCUGAAAUUGUCCUGCCCAAGGUCCGCACAUACUCAAAGGGAUUUGAUCUUUCUUCCAUUCAAAAAGAGCACAGAGUGCAUAUUGCUGGUGUAACAGGGUGGCCUGCCUCAUGGGCUGCAGAGCCUGGGGCUAAGCCAACCCUGAUUAUAGUAUCAGUCCCACCUGAGAGGAAUCAGGUGGCUCCAGUACAAAAGGAACAGGAAGUGGCAGUGAAGGGGAAGCUAUAUCUGCAGAUGCUGCAGGGUCUAAGAAUGCUCCUGCAGGGCUCUGUGUCAGCAGGAGAAAAGAUCAGAAGCAGGGCAGAGUGAGAGAGCUCUCCAGCCACCCUGCUAGCUCAGUGCAUGGAUAGCUCCCGGCUCUUCUCCCUGGGCUUUCUGUGGGAGCUGGGUACGAGAUGACAUGUGAAGGAGUUUUAGCUUCUAGAUCCAUCGUCUCCAGACAUGGGCAAGGAUCAAUGGCAGAGGAGUGCUUGAGUAACAGACACAAGGAGCAUGGAGCUCAGAAGAAGGGAAUGGAGGGAAAACAGUCCAACUCCUCAUCUCUAAUGGGCUUGGCUGCUCACUGAAGAUGGAGGCCUCACUCUAAUGCAAAAGUUUUGGGGGCCAGAAAAGAUAAUCAAUGAAAGACCGUUUCCAACCUGCCUUCAAAGGAAAUCCCAGACAUAUCCUUGCUUUGAAACCUUACAGCUGCAUUGGUACCACAAUAUUGCUUCCCUUGCUUGGGAAAGUUCGACAACAAUAAAGAAUGAUAGUUAUGAGAGAGUCUGCACUGCUUGGGAGUAGGAGCAUGGAAAACAACUCAUCUGUUCUGUUAACUGUCAUCCAAAAAUAUUUAGUCCUCCAUUAUGAAAAAUGAAGCAUUAGUAGGGACAUCUAUUUACCAAGUUCAAGUGUUUGGGCAACAGGUUCCAAAUUGAUAUGUAAAUCACUGUGUUCUCUCUCUCUCUCUCUCUCUCUCUCUCUCUUUUUUAAUCCUCUCUGACUAAACAAGCUUAAACUUUUCAACU